GAUGAACGCUGGCGGCACGCCUAACACAUGCAAGUCGAACGAUUAGAGCCCCUUCGGGUGUGUAUGAAGUGGCGCGCAGCUGGGUAACACCUGGGCACCCUGCCCCUCUCAUUGGGCUAGCCACGGGAAACCGUGGAUAAUACCGAAUACUUCGGGACUUCCCCAUGGGAGACGCGAGAAAGCUCCGGCGGGGGGGUGUGUGGCCGCGGCCUGUUGGCUUGGUGGUGGGGUAAUGGCCUGCCAAGGCAAUGAGGGGUAGCUGGGUUGAGAGACCGCCCAGCCAGAUGGGGACGGAGACACGGCGCAGACGCCUACGGGAGGCAGCAGUGGGGAACCGUGCACAAUGGGCGAAAGCCUGAGGCAGCGACGCCGCGUGCGGGAGGAAGGCCUUCGGGUUGUAAACCGCGUUCAGCAGGGACGGGGCGAAAGUGACGGUACCUGAAGAAGAAGCCCCGGCUAACUCCGUG
Molecule: ribosomal RNA, 467 nt
Filed under: uncultured bacterium
Lineage: Bacteria
Description: partial 16S ribosomal RNA
Rfam family: Bacterial small subunit ribosomal RNA
Source: RNAcentral